RNAcentral lists this ribosomal RNA (367 nucleotides) under uncultured bacterium. RNAcentral describes it as "bacterial SSU rRNA". It matches the Rfam family "Bacterial small subunit ribosomal RNA", at positions 527 to 896 of the family's 1533-position model. The record is from RNAcentral.
GGAGGGUGCAAGCGUUAUCCGGAUUCACUGGGUUUAAAGGGAGCGUAGGUGGCUUUGUAAGUCAGUGGUGAAAUAUUGCGGCUCAACCGCAAAACUGCCAUUGAUACUGCUUAGCUUGAAUCAAGUCGAGGUGGAUGGAAUAAUACAUGUAGCGGUGAAAUGCUUAGAUAUGUAUUAGAACACCGAUUGCGAAGGCAGUUCACUAGGCUUGUAUUGACACUGAGGCUCGAAAGCGUGGGGAUCAAACAGGAUUAGAUACCCUGGUAGUCCACGCCCUAAACGAUGUAAACUCGACAUUAGCGAUAUACUGUUAGUGUCCAAGCGAAAGCGUUAAGUUUACCACCUGGGAAGUACGUCCGCAAGGAUG